AGAGUUUGAUCCUGGCUCAGAACGAACGUUGGCGGCGUGUAUUAGGCAUGCAAGUCGGGGGAAUCCCCGCAAGGGGGGAACCGGCGUAAGGGGCAGUAAGGCGUGGACGACCUACCCCGCGGUCCGGGAUAGCCCGUCGAGAGACGGGGUAAUACCGGAUGACGUGGCGACACCAAAGGCUUGCCGCCGCGGGAGGGGUCCACGUGGUAUUAGCUAGUUGGUGGGGUGACGGCCCACCAAGGCGACGAUGCCUAGCGGGUGUGAGAGCACGACCCGCGCCACUGGCACUGGGACACUGGCCAGACACCUACGGGUGGCUGCAGUCGAGGACCUGCGGCAAUGGGCGCAAGCCUGACCGAGCGACGCCGCGUGUGCGACCGAAGGCCUUCGGGUUGUAAAGCACUGUCGAGGGGGAGAAAGCCGCAAGGUUGAUCUAUCCCUGGAGGAAGCACGGGCUAAGUUCGUGCCAGCAGCCGCGGUAAUAC
This 485-nucleotide ribosomal RNA is filed under the name uncultured bacterium. RNAcentral's name for it is "bacterial SSU rRNA". It matches the Rfam family "Bacterial small subunit ribosomal RNA", at positions 8 to 526 of the family's 1533-position model. The record is from RNAcentral.